Molecule: long non-coding RNA, 1177 nt
Organism: Lathyrus oleraceus (garden pea)
Lineage: Eukaryota; Viridiplantae; Streptophyta; Magnoliopsida; Fabales; Fabaceae
Exons: 2
Source: RefSeq, a predicted model, not a curated record
UCAGCAUGGACCUUGGAUAGUAUGGGGAGUGAGCAGUGCAAAUAAUUAGGCCUAACAGAAGGAUUGAGCCCUAAAUGGAGAAACUGGACCGUUUGAGCAAAAAAGCCCAAAUCUUAAGUCAAACCUGAGCUCAAUCAAUCGAACCUCAACCAAGUCGUCACGUCGAACAAGAAAAAAGAACUCCUACGUCAAAACUCACCGGUGGUGCCGAAAAACUCCUUGCCGGCGGCGUAUGCGAGCAACCAGGAAUCCGGUCUCGUUCAGGUGUUAUGCUUUGAUCUACUCUUUCACUCCAUAUCGUGAUUGUCCGAGUUGCGCCGUUUUCGACGGAGACUCCGAUUUCGCAGCGAUGCGUUCUGAGAUGACGACGACAAGUUCAGGUCCGCGUGCGUUUAUCCAGGAGUGCUUCGCCUCGUCUUCCUCUUCUGUUUCAAUCUUCUGUUUCUGUUUCUAGGUGUCUCGCCGUAGUGGAUCGCCUUGCCGUUUUCGAGGAAGACUUUGCGUUGUUGUUGUUCGGUUUUGCGAUGUGGUGAUGCAGAUGAUUUGUAGAAUUGAAAACAAGGUGAUGUAUGGUGCGUGAGAAGCUUCGUGAUGGAUGUGAGAGUUUGUAGCGAUUCAACUCAGAAGGAGGAGGAGCGAUUUGUUCUGUAGAAUCGAUUUUGGUUGAAAAAAAGGAAGAGAGGUUUCACUGUUAACUUAUCCGUUUAUAUAGAAACCAUGUUUGUAAUUUGAAUUGAGUUGGAGCUGUGAUGGAUUUACAAUGCCGUUUACGCGUUGGGCAUUGCGUUUUGGUUGUUACCAUUGUGCAGCUUUCCAAUUUUCUGCGUUUUGUUUACGGGUGCAGCUGGUGUUGUCGUUUUGGUAUUUGAGUUCACAUCAUUGCCGUUUGGCUUGCUACUACCUGCGUUAUGCCACAACUUUUGCAUUUUUGACUGGUUUUGGAAGCUUUGCAGCCUGCCGUCGUUUCCACUUUUUGUCCUAUCUGUAAUAGAUAGGUGUAUUAUAUUACAUGGAUUAAUUAGUUUUUUAAUGGAUGAAUGUUAAUGUUAAAAAAGCUAAUGGAUAAUGGAUUUAGAGAUUGGAUUAUUGGAUUGGAAAAAAUGGAUUUGGGCUAUGGUUAAUUGAAUAAAAAUUGGAUAUAGAAAUUGGACUUAGAAAUGGGAUUUAGAAUGUGUUA